This is a long non-coding RNA of Saccostrea echinata, 319 nucleotides long. RefSeq lists it as uncharacterized. The record is from RefSeq and is a predicted model, not a curated record. NCBI's taxonomy places the organism in Eukaryota, Metazoa, Mollusca, Bivalvia, Ostreida, Ostreidae. The transcript has 3 exons.
AUCAACAAAAAUUCUUCGUUGAUAUUUGGAAACAUUCGUCUGUUUGAUAUUGAAUUUUGGACCACAGACAGUGUUACACAAAGAGCUGCCAAACGUAUCAUUGAAUCAUUCACACAAUGCCGUUGCCUGGAUUUUCACUGAUAGUUAUGGGAGCUAUGGAGCUCAGGAAAUGGUGGGAUAAGAAAAAUACAAGACGUGUACAGAGGAUUAUUAUAAAUCCACAAGAUAUUGGAACAGACGUGGACACAGGUGUUAGCGAAGAUGUGCUAGAUCAUUAUGUUUCUACUGAAGUAGACGGUCUAUUAAGGCGCAUACAAAA